AUUUUGAUCAUGUAAAUCUUAUAUUCCUAUCUUUUCUAAAAUUUUUCUCAAGCAUAUUUUGCAAAUUGCUGCAUCAUUAUCUGCUCAUGAAACAUGGAUGAAAUUGAAAAAUUGUUCAAUAACCAUAUCAAUACCAAGAAUAUGAAGUUUAAGAUCAGCUUCAAUUAGGAAACCAAAGGCAUAAUGCACCAUGGCAAAUUUAUUGGGCUCUUGACCCAAAUGGCACUUUCUUAUUGGGCUCUUAAUGCUUCCCUUCUUUAUAUUUUUCAAUGAUUCAUCUAUGCCUACCUCUAUAAUCUAUAUUAUUGAUUGCCUUUGUCAUGAUUCUUGCUAAAGGAUGGAUUGUUGAAUUGAAAAUUUUAUUAGAAAUAUUUUUGUUUUUGGUCACUCACCCACUAAAAACUUGAGUUCUUUUAAUUUUUUUGACAUUCCA
This 433-nucleotide unclassified non-coding RNA is filed under the name Hevea brasiliensis (rubber tree). The record is from RNAcentral. Lineage: Eukaryota; Viridiplantae; Streptophyta; Magnoliopsida; Malpighiales; Euphorbiaceae.